This 672-nucleotide ribosomal RNA is filed under the name Ralstonia sp. enrichment culture. RNAcentral's name for it is "bacterial SSU rRNA". It matches the Rfam family "Bacterial small subunit ribosomal RNA", at positions 23 to 692 of the family's 1533-position model. The record is from RNAcentral. Lineage: Bacteria; Pseudomonadati; Pseudomonadota; Betaproteobacteria; Burkholderiales; Burkholderiaceae.
CUCAGAUUGAACGCUGGCGGCAUGCCUUACACAUGCAAGUCGAACGGUAACAGGUCUUCGGAUGCUGACGAGUGGCGAACGGGUGAGUAAUACAUCGGAACGUGCCCGAUCGUGGGGGAUAACGGAGCGAAAGCUUUGCUAAUACCGCAUACGAUCUACGGAUGAAAGCAGGGGACCGCAAGGCCUUGCGCGGACGGAGCGGCCGAUGGCAGAUUAGGUAGUUGGUGGGAUAAAAGCUUACCAAGCCGACGAUCUGUAGCUGGUCUGAGAGGACGACCAGCCACACUGGGACUGAGACACGGCCCAGACUCCUACGGGAGGCAGCAGUGGGGAAUUUUGGACAAUGGGCGAAAGCCUGAUCCAGCCAUGCCGCGUGCAGGAUGAAGGCCUUCGGGUUGUAAACUGCUUUUGUACGGAACGAAAAGACUCCUUCUAAUAAAGGGGGUCCAUGACGGUACCGUAAGAAUAAGCACCGGCUAACUACGUGCCAGCAGCCGCGGUAAUACGUAGGGUGCAAGCGUUAAUCGGAAUUACUGGGCGUAAAGCGUGCGCAGGCGGUAAUGUAAGACAGUUGUGAAAUCCCCGGGCUCAACCUGGGAACUGCAUCUGUGACUGCAUUGCUGGAGUACGGUAGAGGGGGAUGGAAUUCCGCGUGUAGCAGUGAAAUGCGUA